CUGGAGACAGGUGCUGCAUGGCUGUCGUCAGCUCGUGUCGUGAGAUGUUGGGUUAAGUCCCGCAACGAGCGCAACCCUUGCCUUUAGUUGCCAGCAGUUCGGCUGGGCGACUCUAAAGGGACUGCCGGUGUUAAACCGGAGGAAGGUGGGGAUGACGUCAAGUCCUCAUGGCCUUUAUGACCAGGGCUACACACGUACUACAAUGGCCGAUACAAAGGGCAGCGACACUGCGAGGUGAAGCCAAUCCCGUAAAAUCGGUCUCAGUCCGGAUUGGAGUCUGCAACUCGACUCCAUGAAGUUGGAAUCGCUAGUAAUCGUGGAUCAGCAUGCCACGGUGAAUACGUUCCCGGGCCUU
Molecule: ribosomal RNA, 355 nt
Filed under: uncultured Desulfobulbus sp.
Lineage: Bacteria; Pseudomonadati; Thermodesulfobacteriota; Desulfobulbia; Desulfobulbales; Desulfobulbaceae
Description: bacterial SSU rRNA
Rfam family: Bacterial small subunit ribosomal RNA
Source: RNAcentral